AGCAGCCGCGGUAAUUCCAGCUCCAAUAGCGUAUAUUAAAGUUGUUGCAGUUAAAAAGCUCGUAGUUGAAUUUCGGGAUUAGUAAGUUGGUCGUGCCUCUGGUAUGUACUGGCUUUACUGGUUCCUCCUUCUUGAAGAACUGUAAUGUUAUUAAUUUGGUGUUGCAGGGAAACAGGACUGUUACUUUGAAAAAAUUAGAGUGUUUAAAGCAGGCUAACGCUUGAAUACAUUAGCAUGGAAUAAUGAAAUAGGACGUUUGAUCCUAUUUUGUUGGUUUCUAGGAUUGACGUAAUGAUUAAUAGGGAUAGUUGGGGGCAUUAGUAUUCAAUUGUCAGAGGUGAAAUUCUUGGAUUUAUUGAAGACUAACUACUGCGAAAGCAUUUGCCAAGGAUGUUUUCAUUAAUCAAGAACGAAAGUUAGGGGAUCGAAGACGAUCAGAUACCGUCGUAGUCUUAACCAUAAACUAUGCCGACUAGGGAUCGGAUGAUGUUAAUUUUUUAAUGACUCAUUCGGCGCCUUA
This 520-nucleotide ribosomal RNA is filed under the name uncultured Glomeromycotina. Its description in RNAcentral is "SSU rRNA". It matches the Rfam family "Eukaryotic small subunit ribosomal RNA", at positions 569 to 1090 of the family's 1831-position model. The record is from RNAcentral. Lineage: Eukaryota; Fungi; Glomeromycota.